AGAGUUUGAUCCUGGCUCAGGACGAACGCUGGCGGCGCGCCUAACACAUGCAAGUCGAACGAGCGAGAGAGAGCUUGCUUUCUCAAGCGAGUGGCGAACGGGUGAGUAACGCGUGAGGAACCUGCCUCAAAGAGGGGGACAACAGUUGGAAACGACUGCUAAUACCGCAUAAGCCCACAGCUCGGCAUCGAGCAGAGGGAAAAGGAGCAAUCCGCUUUGAGAUGGCCUCGCGUCCGAUUAGCUAGUUGGUGAGGUAACGGCCCACCAAGGCGACGAUCGGUAGCCGGACUGAGAGGUUGAACGGCCACAUUGGGACUGAGACACGGCCCAGACUCCUACGGGAGGCAGCAGUGGGGAAUAUUGCACAAUGGGGGAAACCCUGAUGCAGCGACGCCGCGUGGAGGAAGAAGGUCUUCGGAUUGUAAACUCCUGUUGUUGAGGAAGAUAAUGACGGUACUCAACAAGGAAGUGACGGCUAACUACGUGCCAGCAGCCGCGGUAAAACGUAGGUCACAAGCGUUGUCCGGAAUUACUGGGUGUAAAGGGAGCGCAGGCGGGAAGGCAAGUUGGAAGUGAAAUCCAUGGGCUCAACCCAUGAACUGCUUUCAAAGCUGUUUUUCUUGAGUAGUGCAGAGUAGGGCGGAAUUCCCGGUGUAGCGGUGGAAUGCGUAGAUAUCGGGAGGAACACCAGUGGCGAAGGCGGCCUACUGAGCACCAACUGACGCUGAGGCUCGAAAGUGUGGGUAGCAAACAGGAUUAGAUACCCUGGUAGUCCACACUGUAAACGAUGAUUACUAGGUGUUGGAGGAUUGACCCCUUCAGUGCCGCAGUUAACACAAUAAGUAAUCCACCUGGGGAGUACGACCGCAAGGUUGAAACUCAAAGGAAUUGACGGGGGCCCGCACAAGCAGUGGAGUAUGUGGUUUAAUUCGACGCAACGCGAAGAACCUUACCAAGUCUUGACAUCCUGCGACGCACAUAGAAAUAUGUGUUUCCUUCGGGACGCAGAGACAGGUGGUGCAUGGUUGUCGUCAGCUCGUGUCGUGAGAUGUUAGGUUAAGUCCCGCAACGAGCGCAACCCUUAUGGUCAGUUACUACGCAAGAGGACUCUGGCCAGACUGCCGUUGACAAAACGGAGGAAGGUGGGGAUGACGUCAAAUCAUCAUGCCCUUUAUGACUUGGGCUACACACGUACUACAAUGGCGUUAAACAAAGAGAAGCAAGACCGCGAGGUGGAGCAAAACUCAGAAACAACGUCCCAGUUCGGACUGCAGGCUGCAACUCGCCUGCACGAAGUCGGAAUUGCUAGUAAUCGCAGAUCAGCAUGCUGCGGUGAAUACGUUCC
This 1345-nucleotide ribosomal RNA is filed under the name uncultured bacterium. Its description in RNAcentral is "bacterial SSU rRNA". It matches the Rfam family "Bacterial small subunit ribosomal RNA", at positions 8 to 1374 of the family's 1533-position model. The record is from RNAcentral.